CGCACCUGAGGAUCGCGUGUGGACGGGACAGACUUUUCAGCCGUGACGAAAAGUCCACUGACUGUGAGGAAUUAAAGGCCAGAGCAGCACAGGAACAUUGAGAACUUCAGUGACACAACAGCCUCCUCCUCGUCCAGGGCCGGAGGACAGCAGGGUCCAUCCAUGAGACAAACCCAGCCAGCGCCAAGAAUGAGACACAGGAAAGCCAGAAGAACCCACUGAGACAGUGUCGGUGGUAAAGUAGUGGAUUGGAGUUUUGCUUUUCAUAUUAUUUCCCUCCAUCCACAUUAUUCCAGCACCUUAUCCACAACUCCUUACAGCAUGUGGUCAAAUACCUUUACAUGAGAUCGUGUGGCUAAUAUUCAAUACUAUUAGUUAACCAUGUUAAUUUACCUUACAUCAUUUCUCAGCAAUAAUUUAGUCCUUUAAUUCUAGUACGAUUGUGUUAUUGGAACUUGACAAAUCUUGGGGACAUUUCAACUUUGUUAAUAAGGGAAUUCUGCCUUAAAUUAGUCCUUAAACUAAUUUAAAACAAUAAUAAUAAAGCUAUAAUAAAACCAUAAACAUCAGAUUGUUCUGUCUCACUUUGGGUUACAACAUUUUUCACAGAUAAUCAGGAUUGUUUUAAUUAAUAUUAUUUAAUAUGAUAGUUCACUGAGAGCUUACAUUUGUUGAAUUCAGGUGAAAUGUCUUUACCUAACAAUGUGUACCACCAUUAAUAGUUUGUUGUUGAAUAGUAAAAAAAAACUAAAAAAAAAA
Long non-coding RNA from Betta splendens (Siamese fighting fish), 759 nucleotides. RefSeq lists it as uncharacterized. Lineage: Eukaryota; Metazoa; Chordata; Actinopteri; Anabantiformes; Osphronemidae. The record is from RefSeq and is a predicted model, not a curated record. The transcript has 2 exons.